This is a non-coding RNA of Callorhinus ursinus (northern fur seal), 4046 nucleotides long. The record is from RefSeq and is a predicted model, not a curated record. Lineage: Eukaryota; Metazoa; Chordata; Mammalia; Carnivora; Otariidae.
GCGGUGCAUCCUGCUUGCGCCCGGGGCUGCGCCCGGGGCUGAGAUCCUCCCGCGCCUGAGGCGGCUGGCAGCGGGAGCUGAGAGGCUGCUGUGGUCCCCGCCACCUCCCCAUUUCCGCGUCCCCGGGACCAUGGCCGCGCAGGCGGGGGAAGAUACCUGGAAGUGUCAGGGCUGUGGGGACCAUGUCGCUCCAAGCCAGAGGCGGUACAGGACUGUCAACGAAGCCUGGCACAGCUCUUGCUUCCGGUGUUCAGAAUGCCAGGAUUCCCUCACCAACUGGUACUAUGAGAAGGAUGGGAAGCUUUACUGCCACAAGGACUACUGGGGGAAGUUUGGGGAGUUCUGCCAUGGGUGCUCUCUGCUGAUGACAGGGCCUGUCAUGGUGGCCGGGGAGUUCAAGUACCACCCAGAGUGCUUUGCCUGUAUGAGCUGCAAGGUGAUCAUUGAAGAUGGUGAUGCAUAUGCCCUGGUGCAGCACUCCACCCUCUACUGUGGGAAGUGCCAUAAUGAGGUGGUGUUGGCACCCAUGUUUGAGAGGCUCUCCACGGAGUCUGUUCAGGACCAGCUGCCUUACUCCGUCACACACAUCUCCAUGCCAGCCACCACCGAGGGCAGACGGGGCUUCUCCGUGUCCGUGGAAAGUGCCUGCUCCAACUAUGCCACCACUGUGCAAGUAAAAGAGGUCAACCGGAUGCACAUCAGUCCCAGCAACCGCAACGCCAUCCACCCUGGGGAUCGCAUCCUGGAGAUCAAUGGGAUCCCCGUCCGCACACUCCGAGUGGAAGAGGUAGAGGAUGCAAUUAACCAGACAAGCCAGACGCUUCAGCUCUUGAUUGAACAUGAUCCUGUGUCCCAGCGCCUGGACCAGCUGCGGCUGGAUGCACGACUCUCCCCCCACAUGCAGAAUGCCGGACACUCCCAUACCCUCAGCACCCUGGACACUAAGGAGAAUCUGGAAGGCACACUAAGGAGACGCUCCCUGAGGCGCAGUAACAGCAUCUCCAAGUCUCCUGGCCCCAGCUCCCCAAAGGAGCCCCUGCUAUUUAGUCGUGACAUCAGCCGUUCAGAAUCGCUCCGCUGUUCCAGCAGCAAUUCACAGCAGAUCUUCCGGCCAUGUGACCUGAUCCACGGGGAGGUCCUGGGGAAGGGCUUCUUUGGGCAGGCCAUCAAGGUAACACACAAAGCCACUGGCAAAGUGAUGGUCAUGAAGGAGUUAAUUCGGUGUGAUGAGGAAACACAGAAGACUUUUCUGACUGAGGUGAAGGUGAUGCGCAGCCUGGACCACCCCAAUGUGCUCAAGUUCAUUGGUGUGCUAUACAAAGACAAGAAGCUGAACUUGCUGACAGAGUACAUUGAGGGGGGCACGCUGAAGGACUUUCUGCGCAGUGUGGACCCGUUUCCCUGGCAGCAGAAGGUCAGAUUUGCCAAAGGCAUCGCCUCUGGAAUGGCCUAUUUGCACUCCAUGUGCAUCAUCCACCGGGAUCUGAACUCACACAACUGCCUUAUCAAGCUGGACAAGACUGUGGUGGUGGCAGACUUUGGGCUGUCACGGCUUAUAGUUGAGGAGAGGAAAAAGCCCCCAGUGGAGAAGGCUACCACCAAGAAACGCACCUUGCGUAAGAAUGACCGCAAGAAGCGCUAUACAGUGGUGGGAAACCCCUACUGGAUGGCCCCUGAGAUGCUGAAUGGAAAGAGCUACGAUGAGACAGUGGAUGUCUUCUCUUUUGGGAUCGUUCUCUGCGAGGGGACAUAGACAUGAGGGGAUACAGCAGGGCAGAGUGGGAUGUGUGGAGCUGCCUCUCCAGAUCUGGAACAUCUUGCUUCUGCUGCAGUGAAGCCUCUUCUAAACCCUUCUCAGUAACCAGACUCUCAGUUGAGAGAAGAGUCUGGAUUCGUGAGAUUUGGGCAUGGGGGACGGCUCCCUAACCUUGGUUUUUACCUCCCUCUUCUGCCCAUCCUUCCUGUCCAUACACCAGUAUCCCACUGCCCUGUGACCGCACCCACCACAGUCCACUCCUGACCAGCCAUCUUUUCAUCUGCAGAUCAUCGGGCAGGUGUAUGCAGAUCCUGACUGCCUGCCCCGAACACUGGACUUUGGCCUCAACGUGAAGCUUUUCUGGGAGAAGUUUGUCCCCACAGACUGCCCCCCAGCCUUCUUCCCCCUGGCAGCCAUCUGCUGCAAACUGGAGCCCGAGAGCAGACCAGCAUUCUCAAAACUGGAGGACUCCUUUGAGGCUCUCUCCCUGUACCUGGGGGAGCUGGGCAUCCCACUGCCUGCAGAGCUGGAAGAGCUGGACCACAAUGUGAGCAUGCAGUACGGCCUGACCCGGGACUCACCCCCCUAGCCCUGGCCCAGCCCCCUGCGGGGGGGCGUUCUGCAUCCACCAUUGCCCCCUCUGCGCCCCAUCCCUGCUGUGGGCAGGGCCGUCCGGGCUUCCUGUGGAUUGGCAGCUUGUUUAGAAACAGAACAAGCCAUCCCUACUACCUCCCCAGGAGGCGAGCGGGUGCAGCACCAGGGAAACACAUCAAGGUUUGGGGGUCUGGUUACUGUCUGUAGAUCCAACACUCGCCUGAAAGCUGUGAAGAAAAAAAAAGAAAAAAAGAAAAAAAAAAAAGCCUGGCCCAUGAGCCGGGAGGAAUCUGUUACUCGUGACCACUUGGGACGUCCCUGGCAUUGGGAUUCCAGGAGGCUCUUGCUUACACUAAUGAGCAUGACCUGGACCUGCUGGGCAGGAUUCCAGGGUGAACCUGCCUGUGGGCUCUGAAGUCUGUAGUCCAGCUGGGUACAGGAGGACUUCCAAGUGAGAGUGUGGACGAAAGACUGGUGGCCAGGCGGCUAUCCAAGGAUGUGAAGUGACAGUGGUGCUACCCACCCCUCCACUCUGUGUCCCACCCUCCUCUGGGGCAGGGGUUGAGGGAGCAAGUUUUGAAGAGUCCCUUAGUUUGUGGUGGAAUUGGCCAGGAGUCAGGGGAUGGGCUAGUUUGCUCAUCUACCAGGGCUAGGGGCCACAUCAGUGUGAGGGGGAGCUUCCACCUCAUGUUCUCAAACUGUACUGCUAGAGGCUUGCUGAGAGCUCCUGGGCCUCUCUACCUGCAACAAGCACUCACCCACAAAUGCAGCAAGAGGCUGGGGCCUGGAAAGAAAGGGGCCCUGCCCUCUAGAAAGCCCAUAUCCUGGCUGCUGUCAGGCAUACCCUGGUGGGCACCUCAGUCAGAAGCCCAAGACAUUUAUCUUAGUGCUAGAUAGGUUCUGGAGGAUUGUGUGGCUUGCCGCAGGCCCAGUGUAUGAGCCAAGAGAGUGGGAAUCUCAGCAGUCUCUUGGCCCUUCCCUUGUGGCAGCCAUUGCUCACCCUUCACCAUGCCUGGUCCAGGUAGCAACUUGGGCAGGACGAGGUGGUGGCAGAGUCCCAGAGCUGGGAUGCUGGGGGAGACUGCUCCCUGAGCUGGGCUUUCUGGCUUCUACCUCCCUUGUUGGUUGGCCCAGCUCAGUAGCUCCUUGUAGCUCCUGGCUGCAGCUUCCUCACACAACUAUGGGCACUGAAAAGCGCUGGAGGCACCCUCUACAUUGGCUCCCAGAACUCCAGGGACCCUUAAACACAACAAAAUUUGCCUCCUAUGUGUCUGUGAGCUUGCACCGUAUUUAACAAAUUGGGAAUGGGUUUGGGAUAUUACUGCAAUGUGUGGUGGUUGUGUUUUUUUGGGGGGGGGGGUGGGGGGAGGUAGUAGGGGGGGAGUGAUCCAGGAGAGUGGUUGAUGUUAAUACUGUUUUGUUGCUCUAUCUGUUGGGUGAUAUGUGAAAUACUGUACAUAGGCCUGAUAAGUUGGGGGAUUAGAUGUCCUCUCUGGACAGAGUUUACCUGCUAUAUAGACCAUACUUAUAUGUGGAGUGUGCAAGCUUGCUGUAGGGUUGAGCCCUGGCUCCGAGCAACCCUAAGUCAGAAUUUUGUGGCUGGUUGUGCCUCAGCUGUCCCCAGCAAGCAUGGGAGUGGUGGGCCCAUGGUGGGCCAUUGAGCAGACCAAAUAAAUUAAGCAGUUAACAUAAGUGA